AGAACGAACGCUGGCGGCAUGCCUAACACAUGCAAGUCGAACGAGACCUUCGGGUCUAGUGGCGCACGGGUGCGUAACGCGUGGGAAUCUGCCCUUGGGUUCGGAAUAACAGCGAGAAAUUGCUGCUAAUACCGGACGAUGACGUAAGUCCAAAGAUUUAUCGCCCAAGGAUGAGCCCGCGUAGGAUUAGCUUGUUGGUGAGGUAAGAGCUCACCAAGGCGACGAUCCUUAGCUGGUCUGAGAGGAUGAUCAGCCACACUGGGACUGAGACACGGCCCAGACUCCUACGGGAGGCAGCAGUGGGGAAUAUUGGACAAUGGGCGAAAGCCUGAUCAGCAAUGCCGCGUGAGUGAUGAAGGCUUAGGGUGUAAAGCUCUUUACCGGAUGAUAAUGGCAGUACCGGAGAAUAAGCUCCGGCUAACGUCCGUGCCAGCAGCCGC
RNAcentral lists this ribosomal RNA (440 nucleotides) under uncultured soil bacterium. Its description in RNAcentral is "bacterial SSU rRNA". It matches the Rfam family "Bacterial small subunit ribosomal RNA", at positions 26 to 518 of the family's 1533-position model. The record is from RNAcentral.